GUGCAGGAGUCAGUCCCCAUCAGGACACAGCAUGGACAUGAGGGCCCCCACUCAACUCCUGGGGCUUCUGCUGCUCUGGCUCCCAGGUGCCAGAUGUGACAUACAGAUGACCCAGUCUCCAUCUUCCCUGGCUGCAUCUCUAGGAGACACAGUCACCAUCACUUGCCAGGCCAGUCAGGGCAUUAGCAAUUAUUUAAGCUGGUAUCAGCAGAAACCAGGGCAAUCCCCUAAGAUUCUGAUCUAUGGGGCAUCUAAUUUGGAAACUGGGGUCCCAUCAAGGUUCAGUGGCAGUGGGUCUGGGACAGAUUUCACCCUCACCAUCAGCAGCCUGCAGCCUGAAGAUUUUGCAACUUACUACUGUCUACAAUCUUAUAAUUACCCUCCCACAGUGUUACAAGCCCUAACAGAAACCCCCCAGGGAAGGAGACAUGCUAUCAACAUUCCCAUGUAA
Molecule: non-coding RNA, 451 nt
Organism: Propithecus coquereli (Coquerel's sifaka)
Lineage: Eukaryota; Metazoa; Chordata; Mammalia; Primates; Indriidae
Source: the annotation of a RefSeq genome assembly